RNAcentral lists this ribosomal RNA (420 nucleotides) under uncultured eukaryote. Its description in RNAcentral is "SSU rRNA". It matches the Rfam family "Eukaryotic small subunit ribosomal RNA", at positions 690 to 1093 of the family's 1831-position model. The record is from RNAcentral.
CGCCCUUCGGGGAGCGGGUUGCUGGCUCCUAUGUUCCUAACGGUCCUCGUCCGCGAGGGCGGGGAAUCAACCGCUAGGAUCGUUUACUUUGAGGAAAUUAGAGUGUUCAAAGCAGGCGUAACUCGCCUCCGAAUACGUUAGCAUGGGAUAAUGGAAUACGACUUCGGUCUUGUUUCGUUGGUUUCGCUUGGCUGAAGUAAUGAUUGAUAGGGACAGUUGGGGGCAUUAGUAUUUAGUUGUCNGAGGUGAAAUUCUAGGAUUUACUAAAGACUGACCAAUGCGAAAGCAUUUGCCAAGGAUGUUUUCAUUAAUCAAGAACGAAAGUAAGGGGGAUCGAANACGAUCAGAUACCGUCGUAGUCUCUACCGUAAACUAUGCCGACCAGGGGAUCCNGANAGUUUGCAUGGGAUGANNCCCCGG